CCCUUAGAUGUUCUGGGCCGCACGCGCGCUACACUGAUGCAUUCAACGAGCCUAUCCUUGACCGACAGGUCCGGGUAAUCUUUGAAUCUGCAUCGUGACGGGGAUAGAUUAUUGCAAUUAUUAAUCUUCAACGAGGAAUGCCUAGUAGGCGCAAGUCAUCAGCUUGCGUCGAUUACGUCCCUGCCCUUUGUACACACCGCCCGUCGCUCCUACCGAUUGGGUGUGCUGGUGAAAUGUUCGGAUCGGCCGUUUGUCGCGGUUUCCGCGUCAUGUGGCUGAGAAGUUCAUUAAACCCUCCCACCUAGAGGAAGGUGAAGUCGUAACA
This 325-nucleotide ribosomal RNA is filed under the name uncultured eukaryote. RNAcentral's name for it is "partial 18S ribosomal RNA". It matches the Rfam family "Eukaryotic small subunit ribosomal RNA", at positions 1470 to 1796 of the family's 1831-position model. The record is from RNAcentral.